RNAcentral lists this ribosomal RNA (414 nucleotides) under uncultured bacterium. Its description in RNAcentral is "bacterial SSU rRNA". It matches the Rfam family "Bacterial small subunit ribosomal RNA", at positions 55 to 474 of the family's 1533-position model. The record is from RNAcentral.
CUGCAAGUCGAACGCGUCUUGGGGGCAACUCCAAGAUGAGUGGCGAACGGGUGAGUAACACGUGGGUAAUCUCCCCCCGAGUGAGGGAUAAGCCCCCGAAAGGGGGUCUAAUACCGCAUAACACCCUGGGGCAUAAGCUUCCAGGGUCGAAGCCGCAAGGCGCUUGGGGAUGAGCCUGCGUCCUAUUAGCUAGUUGGUAGGGUAACGGCCUACCAAGGUUAUGAUGGGUAGCCGACCUGAGAGGGUGAUCGGCCACACUGGGACUGAGACACGGCCCAGACUCCUACGGGAGGCAGCAGUGAGGAAUCUUGCGCAAUGGGCGAAAGCCUGACGCAGCGACGCCGCGUGGAGGAAGACGGCCUUCGGGUUGUAAACUCCUGUACAGAGGUGAAGAAUCCCCGCAAGGGGUUGACG